RNAcentral lists this long non-coding RNA (947 nucleotides) under Olea europaea (common olive). RNAcentral's name for it is "long non-coding RNA (OEUR_LNC012001)". Lineage: Eukaryota; Viridiplantae; Streptophyta; Magnoliopsida; Lamiales; Oleaceae. The record is from RNAcentral.
UUGGACAAAUUAAAGUUGGGAAUGUUGUUGAUCCUAGAAAGUGCACUAAGGUGUCGAGAUCGUAAGAUGUCGAUUAACCUUAUGUCAGUGGAUGUUGUUGAUAACAUUGAUGCCUUCAACAACUAUUCAUCAGGUUGAAGAUGUUAUUUUGAUACACUACACAUCUUCAGUAGGGUGCAUUUGAUGUCCAAAUCGGAUAAGGCUGAGCAUAAAUAUGAUGCAUAUGACUUUUCCUUGGUUUUAUAAGCAAAUAUAUAUUUACAUAAUAAUUGUAAAUGUUGCAUAUAUGGAUGUAUGAGGCUAUCAUCGCUUUGGGUAACAAGUGGAUGAUCAAAAAGGAGACAAGCUACCUUCAAAUACUUCAUUAGCGAGCACAAGAUUAGCCAAACGCCAAAGACUUGAAAACCAUUUGCGACGAUCUUCAAUAGGAAUCUCAAGCAAGUUUUGUAAAUCAUGGUACAUUUUCACGUAUCACAAUUCAAGUAAUACCAUCUCUUACAAUCGACCAUUUUCAUCCCUUAGAAAUUUAUCAAAGUAACAAAUAAAAAACAUGAUGAUCAUAUAUCUGCAUUACGGAUCAAAAUAUUAUUAAAAAAAAGGAUUAACCAUAAGGGAUUUAAUAAAUAAUGGUACUAAAAGUAAAAUAAAAAAAGGCCCAGCUGAGGGCGGCCUAGACGUCCUGGGCCGUCCGUACGACUUGGCCGUUUGGAUCCUUAAAAUAUCAUAUUUGAUUAUCCAGGUUUUUUAUUAUUAUUAUUAUUUUUUGCUUAAAAAUUUAUUGAUCUAUUAAAUAAAAUGUAAAAAGUUAUCUACAUUUUAGCAUAUGUCGAAAUAAAACUUAAACAUCAAAAAAGUAUACUGAUUUAACGAAAAUGAAAUUAAAUCUACGUAAAUAUAUUUACCGAUUCGAAGUGUUGGAUAUAUACGAUUUUUUUAAUUGAGCGUUU